Molecule: ribosomal RNA, 439 nt
Filed under: uncultured bacterium
Lineage: Bacteria
Description: partial 16S ribosomal RNA
Rfam family: Bacterial small subunit ribosomal RNA
Source: RNAcentral
CUACGGGGUGCUGCAGUGGGGAAUAUUGCACAAUGGAGGAAACUCUGAUGCAGCAACGCCGCGUGGAGGAUGACACUUUUCGGAGCGUAAACUCCUUUUAUAUAGGAAGAAGAUGACGGUACUAUAUGAAUAAGCGCCGGCUAACUCCGUGCCAGCAGCCGCGGUAAUACGGAGGGCGCAAGCGUUACUCGGAAUCACUGGGCGUAAAGAGCGUGUAGGCGGAUUAAAAAGUCAGAAGUGAAAUCCUAUAGCUUAACUAUAGAACUGCUUCUGAAACUCUUAAUCUAGAAUAUGGGAGAGGUAGAUGGAAUUUCUGGUGUAGGGGUAAAAUCCGUAGAGAUCAGAAGGAAUACCGAUUGCGAAGGCGAUCUACUAGAACAUUAUUGACGCUGAGACGCGAAAGCGGGGGGAGCAAACAGGAUUAGAUACCCGGGUAGUC